RNAcentral lists this ribosomal RNA (59 nucleotides) under Podosphaera sp. RNAcentral's name for it is "partial 28S ribosomal RNA". The record is from RNAcentral. Lineage: Eukaryota; Fungi; Ascomycota; Leotiomycetes; Helotiales; Erysiphaceae.
UGACCUCGGAUCAGGUAGGGAUACCCGCUGAACUUCAGCAUAUCCAAUAAGCGGAGGAA